CCUUGGAAAUGGAGUUCCAGGUGGCUAUGAGCCACCAUACGGAUGCAGGGAAUUGAACCUGGCUCUUCUGAGAGAGCAUCAAGUGCUCAUCUCUCCAGCUCC
Molecule: microRNA precursor, 102 nt
Filed under: Mus pahari (shrew mouse)
Lineage: Eukaryota; Metazoa; Chordata; Mammalia; Rodentia; Muridae
Description: miRNA (MGP_PahariEiJ_G0006969.1)
Source: RNAcentral